AAACAAGUCAAUUUAAGCCCUAAAUGAAUACAUUUUGAUUUGUACAGGCAUGAUAUGCAACUUGUAUUCAGUCGUUUUGUUUUUUCUUUCUUUUGCUUUUGUUUUCCACAUCAACUGAAAAGGAGGUCUAAGUUUAACCUAAGUGCUGUGUAGCUGAUGAACAUCUUUAUAUGCAAAACCGGAGAACCCAGAGAAAACCCACCAAACGCAGAGAGAAUUUGCAAACUCCACACAGAAAUGCCUGCUGAUCCAGCUGCGGCUCGAGUCAGCAUCCUUGCUUAUUGGAUGCCUGAUUGCAGUUCAACUCCAAACUCAAUUGGACCAGCUGAUC
Non-coding RNA from Danio rerio (zebrafish), 331 nucleotides. The record is from RefSeq and is a predicted model, not a curated record. Lineage: Eukaryota; Metazoa; Chordata; Actinopteri; Cypriniformes; Danionidae.